UUCAAAGUUGAAUUCCUUACAGAGUUAUAUAUUUUCCCAGAUCUAUUCUUCUUGAGAAUCUCUUGGAACUUCUGCUUGCUUGCUUUACUUGGCGUAAUUAGUUGAUUUUAUUUGUGCUUUCUUGAAGGAAUUAGCUUUCAAGUACUCUCCGUUUUUCUGGGGUUUUUAUUUUAUUCUUCCCGCACAGCUUUUCUAGUUUAGUUUUCAAGUCGUAAAAAACUCUCGUGAUUCAUACCACUACAAAAAAAAUAUAUGCUUUGUGAGUCUUAUGAUCAGUUACCGUUAGUUCAGUGGGGUAAAGUUCAGAAUAUUAGGUGGGAUAAUAGUUCUGCUUUUACUGCCAUUCCUUAAUGUUUCCUACACUGCAGAACUGAAAAGAUGUGACUGCCUCACAUCAUUGGAUUAGUUAACUAAAUGGGCUGAGUAUCCAUAACUUUCUUGUAUCAGUUGGUAUUCAUGUUUAGGCAUCUCUCUUGUAUAAGUCCUAUGUACAUGGGCUAUGCCUAUUGCUUUCAUCAAUGAAAUUCUUGUUUACC
Molecule: long non-coding RNA, 536 nt
Organism: Juglans microcarpa x Juglans regia
Lineage: Eukaryota; Viridiplantae; Streptophyta; Magnoliopsida; Fagales; Juglandaceae
Exons: 2
Source: RefSeq, a predicted model, not a curated record